Dromaius novaehollandiae (emu) is the source of this 8779-nucleotide long non-coding RNA. RefSeq lists it as uncharacterized. NCBI's taxonomy places the organism in Eukaryota, Metazoa, Chordata, Aves, Casuariiformes, Dromaiidae. The transcript has 3 exons. The record is from RefSeq and is a predicted model, not a curated record.
AGGAGAUGUCUCGGAGCCUCAGCCGAGUCGGGGGGUGACGGGAAGGUGUCGCGGCCCCGGGGGACGAGGGGGUCUGCGGGAACCGGCUGGCCCAGGUCCCCCCAGCUGUGCAGCCCAGCUGCAGACCCCGCUUCCCCGCGAAGCCCGCGCACUUCACCUCGUCGGAGCUUCCUCCGCUCCUUUUUACUGUUCUGUUCUUUCUAGGGCAUAAGAGAGUCGAUCUGACUCAGUGUUAUUAUUAAUCCCAUAUGUAGCUUAUGAGGGGAGGAAAAAGCAGUAAUUAAGUGCAGUCAUAAGUUAAAAGAAUUGAACGUGUUUCUUGCUUGCCUAAUAUCUGGCAAGCACCUUGUGUUUACUCAGUCAUCUGCCUCUCCGAUUUGGCUGAAUCGAGAGUUUUUCAAAACCAACGUGAGCGCACGCGCACUGCCCGGGGGCUCCCGGGGGUCGGGCCCCCCCGCCGUCGCCGCGUCCCGGGCGUCGGGGCUCCCGCAGAGGCACCCGUGCAUCCUCGCCGCCCCCAGCGCCGCGGGGUUUCUCGUGCAAGAGCCCCAGAAAAUAGGUUUCAGGUUCAAAUCCGAGAAGAGAUGAAGCUCCCCAGGAAAAGAGAAGCUAACAGGAAAGACCGAGAACUUGACAGAGGCUGCGGGGAAAAGGCAGCUGAGCGGGGACGCCGGGGCGGGCUGAAGCUCGGGGAGCAGGAGGUGGGGAUCCGUCGCUGAUAGCCAUCACUAACGGAAAACCAGAGGGCAGGCUUUUAUGCUGCAGAAUGGAAAAAAUCAAGCUAAAUACUAGGAAAAGGUUAUAUAGGCCUAAACCAGGAGAAAAAACGGCCAGCGAAGCAAGUUGUGAAGGAAGAGGAGGCCGGCGCUGGCAGGGGACGUCAGGAGGAUGCUCGCCGCUGCAGAGAGGGGAGGGAAAACCCUGAUCACCAAGAACGACUUUCACCUGCGGAAGUGCCAACGCGGCAGGCCUGACCUCGCCGGCGCCAGGUGCCUGCGGUUCCUGUGCUAGGUCCCUGCUCCGCACCGCGCUGCGGGGCCGGCCCCGGGGAGAGGCUGCCGUCGCUCCCCCUUGGUCCUCGGGCCCUCGCCGCAGCCAGGGGAAGCUGACAAAGAUCAAUACCAGCCUGCAAAAGACAUUGCCCUCUUAAGAAUUAGCCCUUUGCAGAAUCAUUAAUCCAGGAAGCUGUUACAGGGUGACAAGAGCGUGGAGGCUCUGCCAGGGCUUGGAGGGAUCGCAGGAGCAUCGCCUUAUGCACAGAAAAACAAACCCAAACGAAAUCAAGGAACAGAGCUGCCAUCCUACCUGCUCGCUCUGCCAGAGGAGCUGACUUUAAUUAAGAAAGGCUGGUUGUGCUCCUGACAAGUGCCAUUAAAGAAACCUCGGGUUUUGCUGCCCUUUCACUUCAGCAGGUGCGUGCGGAGCUGGAGCAGCUGAGCGAAGCCGCGUUGCAGCUCGUGCCGUGCUCUGCAGCCCGGUUGGGCAACGCGGAGCGCGCUCCCGAUGCAGGCUGGCUGCGGGGGCUGCUGCCCCUCUUGCUGAUAGGGACAGAGUGAUACAAAAUCAUUCUGCUGGAUAAAACAAGGCUGUCAUUUUCAUGUUUGACUGCUCUUCCCUAUUGCCAUCUCUUCCACGUGUCCCGGCCCUUCCCUCUGUUCCGGCCAGCGCAGCGGAGGCCGGAACGGGACGAAACACCAGGGACGAGCUUGAACCUGCCACGGAGCCCGCAGCGCGGAGUCAGAGAGACCCUGACACUGCGAUUUAUUGGACUAACUAAUCUCCCGGAGGAAAAGAUAGAUGCCCCAUCCCCUGAAAUAUUUAACGGCUUAAUUCUGCACAAAGCACUUAUGUAUACGCUGUGACGAUCGGGCGCUCGGGAACAAAUGACGAGCACAGUGCGAGAACCUGCACGGAAAAGAUUAAAGGGAAAUGGCUGAAGGACGAAAAAUAUUAACAAGUGGGCGUCUUCUCUGCCCGUGUCUCGUUGACUUGGCUUCGCUUAGCCUUGACUUCGGCUGCGAGAGUCCGGGGUUGGCAGAUGCUCACUCCUGCAGGGAGGAAACCGCAGAGUCGGAGCACCGCUGCCCUUGCGGGGGAAGACGUCGGGGCGCAGGGAAACGAAGAAAUCCCAGCGCUGGGGUGAAGGAGACGGGAUUUUUCAGGAGGACCACGGCUGCAGCCCUUGAAGGACUCGCCCGCAGCAGAAGGCACCAGGCAGCGCUUUGCAGCCUGUUGCAGCGCUGGACGAGCCCACGGGCUGCGGACGCCGGUGCUCGCGGGCCGGUGCGGCUCGGGCAGCUCAGGGUUUCUGUUUCGAGCGGCAUCGAGGGCGCACGGCCCGAGCGCUGCCGUCCCCGCGACCACAGCUCCCAGCGGUGCUUCCGCGCUCGGCGAGCUCCCGGCAGGAGCGGGCAGCGCGUGCCGGAGUAACCGCGUGCUCCCGGGCUCUGCAGCUGGCUCUGGGAAGCAGCUCAGCGGGGCCUGAGCUCAGUAAAACGUUUAAGCUCACGGCUCUGUUCAAGCUCGGGAAGAGCAGGCCUGGGUCUAGGCGCGUGUUCGCUGCGCGGCAGGGAUGAGCCGCUCGCCCGAGGCCGCGGUGUCGGGGGACGCAGGACACGGAGCAGCCAGACGCUCGGGGGGUGAUUAACCCGUCCGAACUCAGCGGGACGAUUCACACGCUCGGGACGAAGCACCGGCAGGUCGUGAUCUGGCGUGGCGGGAUCAGGGCUCGCUGAACGUGGCCCCCGUGAAGAGGUGGUAAUUUAAAAUGUCUAACCCCAGGAAGCCUCCGCACCCGCCGAGGUGGUGCCCGGCCAGACCCUGCCCCGCGAGCCUGCAAGCGGCACGUGCACGUGGCGAGCAGCGGGCUUAACGUGAGCGAGAUAACACAUAUGAGACUAUUUAACUAAGAAGAAAAAAAUCGCAGCACAAAUUGCCGAAAGCUGAAACGGCGACACGUCUAGUUAGCAGCUAGAAAUGGAAAAAUAAUUUCCAACACGGCGUUUGUCACAACACUGAGGGGUCACCUGCCAGGCGAGGGGAGGCGAGGAGAAACCGUUCCCAGGUGUAAUUACGGUUUCCGCCAAGUUUCCCCGCGCUCUGUGGCUGCGGGAGGCUGGUGACGGGCACCCGGCGCCUCGGCAGCGGCGAGAGCAGCGCAACAGAGCUGCGAUUUACAGCGUGGCAACCGCCACUCAGAAAUUACUUGGAAGUUAUUACUAAUCGGUGCAGAUUCGGCCCAGCCCCUUUGGCUGAUAAACGCGGCAGGAACGGUUAUCGGUGAUCUCGCGUGCUCCCGGCCUCGACCCUGCCGGUCCCGCGUGAGCCCGGCGCUGGCGGCCCCGGGUCGAGCCAUCCCGCGUGGCAGAGGCACACGGGCUCCGCGGCUCAUCCCAGCAACCUGCUUCCUCUGCUGCCCGAAAUCUCUCCUGUUUCUGGCCUGGAUGGGCUGAGCUUUGGCUUCCAGGUGUUGGAUUUUGCUUUGGGUCUGCCCUGGUGAAGACCCUCCGCUGCCGGAAGGCUCCCUUAGGAGGUAGCGAUGAAGAGGGAGAAGCUGCCUGAUCACCUUUUCCUUAAUAAACUGGAUUAUUGAAAAUGCUCUAGAGCCGGUACUAGGAGGCACAGGGCAGUCUGAGCUGUGAGUCACUGCUCCAUCCAGAAAACUGGGGUGCAAAACCUCGCCGUGGUCCUCGUGUCCCCGCAGACCUGGAGGGGGAGGCAGGACGUUUUUCAAGGGCCGCACGGGAGGUUUUUGGGCUCUGCACCCCAGAGACACCGCAGCCUGACUUGGGGUGAGGGGGUUUCUUUCUGGUGUUAUUUUUCCAGCGUGUUCCAUUCCCUCCAUUGCAUAUCGCCGCGCUGAGACCAGCACAGGCUAGAAGAGGCAAAUUUUUGACAAAAAAGCUCCUCUCAGCUCUCUGUAAUUCCAUUUUCUGCCAGCACGGAAAUGCGCAGCUCUUUCACGUCAGGCAGCUGCUUGUGUUCGGGAGAAUUAAAAAAAAAUCGCACUUUUUUUCAUUUGUGCUGAUUUGCAUAUUAAUAGUUUGCAUAUUAAACAACUACUUCAGAGGGUGGGCGGGCUAAUGAAUGCAGCAGUCUCCUCUAUUUUAACUCAAUUUGCCUCAUCCAUAUUCCAAUGACUUUGGGGAUUGGUAUUCAGUUUUCAUUGAAAUUAUCCAAGCCAGACCUAAUUUGUGCUGCCCUUCCAUUAAUCCAAUUAAUUAGCACCAUUGAUGUGUACUGCCUUUGUAAUGCAGCUUUGUUCAGCACUGCUGCCGCUAAUGACAGCCUAGUAUCAGAGCAAAUAAUGAGCAAACCAAAGGAGCGUUUGACCCUUGAUGUACCCUCACACAAUGCAGCAGUUUUUAGUCUGGAGGCCCUAAUUUAGGUUCGAUAGCCCAAAUUAUAGACAAUAAUUCAAUAUUCUUUGUGGGGAGCUGAGCAAGUGUCACCCUGCCAUUUGUUUAGCUUAUCAUUUUUUCCUGCCUCUUUAUUUAUGUAUUUUUUUUCCCUUUUCAUUAUUUUCCAACCUGGCCUCCCUGCUCCACCUCCAGCAUUGAUUCCUGACCUUGUUUCCACUGAGAGGUCUGAAGAUCUCUGCGCUCUGAAGGAAUUCAUUAACCUUUCCCCCUGCCCAGAACUAGAGAGAAAAUCUUUAUAUUUUUAAGUAAAGCAAAUAAACACGGUUGGUGAUUAUUGGAGUCCCCUCUGCUGCUCCUGAAGAGCUCAUUUGCUAGCUUAGGAACCACUUUCGGGCUUGUAUCUUUUGUGUAAUUUUUGACGGCUCUUUGAAAUCAUUGUUUGAGCACCUACUAAUUUUAGCAGGAGCCAGGAUUCCCCUCAGGUGCGUUCUGUGCUCUGUUCCCACAUUUUUCGGGUAUAAAGCAGGCUCCUCUUUGCUUUGCUUUGCUUUGCUGCAGCGGGGAGGCCCCCGCCCCGGUCCCAGCCUCUCCCCUUCCUCCAGGGUGGUUAAAGGGCAGCUUAGACCCCCUGCAAGCGGGAGCCUCGUCCUUGUGCCCUGCCCUGCUGCCCGGGUGCCCAGGGUCCCUUCCCUGUGCCAGCAGCUCCCUCGGGCAGAAGCAGCGUCCUCGAGGCUGCAAAACCGCGCCGGGGCUGGGCUACGUCCCCAGAGCGCGGUCGGGUCCGGAGGCGGUCGGGUCCGGGGCCGGGGAGCCGCGCUCCGCUUCCCGCAGCACGCGGAUUCAGCGCCCUGCACCGUGGGGAAGCGGCAAGGAGCUGGGCAGACCCGUCCAGACGUUCAGAAAGCAGCUGCUUUGAUUUAAACGCGAUGUCAUUUUAAUCACUCAGCCCCUUGCAGACGAGAGUGGGAGAAGCUGUUAAAGGAAGCAUUUAGCUAUGGUUAUCCACAGGUAGGUCACUAAAUUCAUUAAGUUAAUUAAUUACACGUGGAACAUUCACUGUGUCCACAAGUGUUUGAACCAUGAGGAGGAAGGUGUUAGAGCUGGGAGGAGGACAGAAAGUCAGUUUUGCAGAGGGAUGGUGAGAUUUUGAUACUUGGCUUCCUUUUCGUUGGAGCAAACCUGAAUGUUUGGAAAUGCUUUGCUCGGGUGAAGGUAGCAAAAACCUGUUCCAAGAGGACUGAUACAUAAUUUGGCAAAAAUACUGUUUUGGUAAAAUAAAACAGUUCAUUUUUAGGUUUUAAAAUAUUAUAAAGAGUAAUUAAAAAUAAUAAAAGUUGUUCCAAGAGUAGAAGUUGAACACCGUUGGACCACUCCUUCAUCACUGCCUGUUUCUCACCAAAACUUUGUUUGGGGAAAUUCGGCAUGGUUUUGUGAAGUGUCCAUAUUGUUUGUGCAAGACCUGUGUUUUCCAGAGGCCUGUCCAGCUCCUGCCGCUCCGCAGGGCUGACGUGCUGCCGGGGACGUUCCCUCCUGCUUCAGCCCGAGUCAAAGAACAAAGGGACCAAGUGGUCACCGGGGGCCUUUGGAAGGAUCGCCACACCGCCGUGACGCAGCCCGGAGCACCUCUGCCGGGUCCGGCCACGCUGCGCCUGUGCCUUGCCGUGCUGCCCAACGGAGAGCCGAAGCAAGCAUCUCCUCCUGCGGCUCUCCGUGCUGUUUCCAGUCACUUCUCCUCGGCGUUAUAAAUCAUGCUAUUUGAAUAGAAGCUUAUACAGUUAGUUGCCUGAAAGAUUUUACUGAUUAACCUUAAAAUAUGCUAUAAAUCUUAUUCUCUUACUUGCUCAUGGAGCAUUGAGAAAGCAAACAGAUUCCUCUACCGUUCCCAUCUCACGCGCACGGCCGCGGAGGCUCCGUCGAUGCCGGGACGAAGGGCUGCCAGGAGCUCCCGGGGCAGCAGGGCUCCGUGGCGGCGGUUUGCAGGUACCGGUCUGCUCCCGGCGACGGUCUGGAACUAGCACCGCAGUAAGAAGGUGGGUUUUACGCUGUCCUGGCCUCUGGUUGACAUAUAUGAGUUGAUGGUGCGUCAGAUGGCUCAGGUCUUCAGCUGCCCUUCUGGAGGUGGUCGAGGAUGUCAGCUGGCGAGCAGGUAAUUCCAGUCUCCUUGCCUGAGCUUUGCCUAGGUUCAAAAUAAUGUUUUUUUUCACCUUCACCUUUUUCACUUUUCACCAUUUUUCACCUUGUUCUUCUCACCUUCCUGAAAAACGCAUUAAAACCGUAGUCGCUGAGGUGCGGUGUGUCCGGCCAGGCAGUUGCAGAGGAGCUGCUACGUUCUUCCCCAGAUGUGCCCAUGCUGCAAGUGUAGAUGAACCAACCUCUCCAUACAGCAAUCCGCACGGCAUUUGUGAGCCAGGCGUUUAGAAACACUGACUACGCGCUCAUUGGGCCUGUGAUCUUCUUAUGCUGGAGUUCAAGGAGAUGCACAGAUAUUAAAUACUGCAGCCAGUUUCUUGACUGGACAGCACAACAAGCAGCUCCUGUUAAAUUAUAUUUUCUACGUGUACAUGUAGGGUUUUCUGGAAAUGCUUUGUGUUGAUGCUGCUCUGCUUCUGAUGAAAUCUGAGGGAUAGUUAUACCAAUGUGAUGUUUCAGUACCUCUCCCUUCAUGCUUUGCUAUGUGUCAGAGCCUUGCAAAUUCCUUAGUGGCGUACCUGAGUUUCUGAGCCUUAUGAACUAGCAAGUUCCUGCAAAAUAAGUGUAAGUAGUAAGAAAAAUGUAUCACAAAUACGUAUUACUCAUCAUGCUACUGCUUUAUGCUGCUCUGUGAUAUACUAAUAGAGACCAUGUGGUUUUAAAAAUAUAUUAAAAGCAUUUCUCCUUUCAGUGCUACCUGUGCUCUACCAAAAAGCAAGGGGGAGGCAGUCAGUUUUCUAGCUGAGUACCUGUUGUGUAGACCACAGCUUCCAGCUCUGCCAGGCUGCACGGUCUUUUUAAACUUUCCAUAAUCCCUCCUUAUGACCUUUGGUGGCAAGAAAACCAACUGAAAUAGCCAAAGCAAAGUAAUAUUUAACAAAAACUUCCUUGUCUACUACUGAGCCGAGGGCCUACGUACCAACCUGCAAGAUGUUGUUGUCUGUCUGGCACUGAUGAGGUAAGAUCCCAUUUAGUGGCAUCACUCAGAACUUGUCAUAUUAUGGUAUGUCACAACAUGUCAGCGUCUGACAGGCUGGAUACCUGCUAUUAACUUACAGACUAGUAGCAAAUACAAAAUACAGGUGAUGAAUAACGGCAGAGCCAAGAGCAGAGCGAAUGCCCUUUCUGGGGCGGUCAGGGUAUUGCUACUGCAAGCCCAGCUUUGCAGAGAAGCCCUCGGCUUCAAUACACUCAGCUUUCACCAAAAAAAAAGAAAGUAGGAAGAGGGUAGGAUUUUAGAAAAUGCAUGAGUGACCUAGGACCGCAUGUCUCGUGGAAUACAUGUGUAUGCUAGUAUCUGCUUUUCAUGAUGCUUCACGAUGUAAAAAGCACCUACCUAAUGCAGAGACCACUGUCUCCACGUAAAGUUCCUGAGAUACGAACGCAGAAUCCUCCAACGUUCUUACAAAAACGUUGGCUAUCAUUACUUGAACUUAUUGAACUAACAAGUUUUUUUUUUUUUUCCAAAGGCACAAGCCAAACCUAAAAAAUACCCCCUAACAUGCCGUAGCCAAAUAUAAGACUCCUAGGCAAAGAUCAAAAAGCUCAAAAGCUAUGUUGUAUACUGGUGAGAAAGCAGGAGAGAUCAAGGGCUCAUAGGGACUUUGUGCAGUGAGACCACUCAGACGGCCGCGCUAAAGACAAGGGAAACCUCCAAAGUGGAUCCAGACAGUCUUCUUUGGGAAAAAUUCCUUCCUGACAGCAGAGCACCAGUUUAAUCUUGAUACAGCAUCUGGGCACCGGUGUUCUCAGUGCUGCUAGAAGAAACAGCACCUGCAGUCAACAUCCCUUCUGUAGCUGUGGCUGAUAUCUGAUGCUUCGGAGAAAGGUGGAAAAACAACACAACGCUGGAAGCCAAGCCAUGCACCAGGCGGGCGGGGAAUUCCUUCCUGCUCCUACAUCUGGCCUGCGGAAAUCCCUGAAGCAUGAGUUUAAUUAAUUGGCUGCCUGUAAGUACGGUACAACAAACAGUAGAUCAAGUCUCCUUUUGCCCCUGUUGGUGAUAUAAUUCAAGCCUCAAAUCAUGGGUUUAAUUACGGGAUCACCCUGUCUUGUCAUACAGUUCCUCCCAUGAAUUUAGCAAGCUCUGUCUGGAAGCACGCUGCACUUCUUGCCUCCGCGGCCUUGCCUGGGGGGACUCGCAGAGUUGCCCUGGACCGAACCAGGGAGAGUCCUGCUGCAGCGGGUGAUGUGCACAGGCCGUCGCACCCGAAGCGGGGCACGCAGGA